Non-coding RNA from Epinephelus lanceolatus (giant grouper), 310 nucleotides. The record is from RefSeq and is a predicted model, not a curated record. NCBI's taxonomy places the organism in Eukaryota, Metazoa, Chordata, Actinopteri, Perciformes, Serranidae.
UUUUUUCACAGCAAUGGCGGUUCGCGGAGCCUCUCAAUACUUCCCGGAAGUAAGCGGCACAUGCUAGCAGCGCAAUGGAGUUACAGCAGAAAGACCAGCUGUGAUGUACUUUUAACGGGAGCACUGGGUGGUGGCGGAGCAGUGAUGCUGCAGGACCACUGUGUGAGAGAGGACACUGCAGCACAAGAACAACAGGGGGAUGCAGCGGAGCCUGAACUCACCCCGCAAUGAAACAACCCCCUUACCCUGAAUCUCAACUCUGUGGGUUUUGCAAGCCUUUACCUGUUCCUUAUUUUUAAUAAACCAAACA